Molecule: non-coding RNA, 134 nt
Organism: Caenorhabditis elegans
Lineage: Eukaryota; Metazoa; Nematoda; Chromadorea; Rhabditida; Rhabditidae
Source: Ensembl
GUCUAACAAAUUUUUCUGAAAGAUAAUAACAUUCUUGACAAAGAUAGUUUCUCAGAUAAAUCAGAUUCUAAAAAAGUUGUUGAAAUUCAAACCAGUUACUGGACUCACUGGAAUUUGUUGAAAUAUUUGGCAGU